CACCACUCUCUGAGCCUUUGCAAACACACACCUUCAUGGCCUGUCAAAGAGAAGUCACAAUGCUGUACUGGAAAUACGAGUUCCAUGCACAUGAUGACAGAGCAGGACAAACAGGGCAAGAGACACAGAAUUCCCCAUCCCACCACAUGUGUAUCUGAAAUAAGGCAGUUGCACUUUCAGCCACAGUGCUGUAACUUCAGUCCAGCUCCCCAGAGAGGUUGCAUGAAGAACAUGCAUCAUGGCACAGGAGCAGACAGCAGAUACUAACUGCCAUAGCUGGAACAGCCCUGUUUCCUCUGCGUCUGCAGCGAAGCACUGCAGCCCCACGCCACAAGACCAGUUCUACUCAUCUGGAAACACCAAAAAGAGGGCCCUCCACAAUUCAUUACCGCUUGUUUGCCAGGGGAAAACAUCCAUGCAGAAAAGCAGCCGGCUGGGGCUGCACAUACAUGCCUCAGAUGCAAAGCCCAGCAAUUUUUUUUUUAAGUGCUGGUGAAAGCUGGUUUGUGCUAAGACAGCAGACUUUGCACUGAGACACGUGCAGGUGCUCCACCCUGCCAGGCCAGCUGCAGCAGGGACAGGACAGAUGGAACAACUGGAGGGGUUCUGCCUUCAGCAACCUCAGCGCAAUUUGCCAGGCUGUCUCUGUCCUCGUCCCUGGACUGAAAGAGUGGGCAAACUGCUUUGUCCAAGGAAUAAACGCAAGUAUUAUGCAUAACAGGGUACCUGCAUGAUGGAUGAAGUAAACCUGCAACUUCUCGCAUUUGCAAGCAGAAUAAUUCAGUGGGAAAAUUCUGGUUCAUGGAGUUCAGAGAAUUUAGUUCACAACACCUUCAGGUUUGGUGGCCUUCUGCUAAAUCCAGGAUGGAGGCGAAACAUUUCCAUGGUUACAGCAGACAGCUGAAAGCAAAGAAGUCCUCCGAGUUUUGUGGUUCUGCAUCAGAGCCACCAGCCAAGAUCAUUAAAGACAGUGGGCAUGUUUACACAGAACAGAGGCACCCGGGAACUGCAGGCAGCAUCACAGCCUCAGGACAGCACGGUGCCGACAUGUGCGCUAGCUCGUGUGUGUGCCAAGGGAGAGCUGUACCACACUGCUGUAGCUAGACUGAUGGUGACUCUCUGCAAACUGCGCAUGGCAUGAAACAUGAAUACCCCAGCUUCAUGAGCUUCAAGGGAAGCCAUGGCAAGUUUGUUAGCUCAUGUGGGGUAUUAGGAAGGAAGAUAAGCACAACGAGAACACAUCAAAUGUGGUAUAUGUAGCGGGAUUAAUAGGGCAAGAGACAUAACAGAGAAGGAAAAUUAUGAUCUAAUGUACUGCACAUCAUUUUUAAGAUUCAGCAAGACUUUCGUGUUCAGAUUCAUAUUUCGUAGGCAUUUCCCUCUCCCUUUUCAUUAGAUACCAAAAAUCUUUAUCAUCUUCUCCAUGUUUUUGUUCCCCAUUUCCUUUUUCCCCGUGCAUUGUUUCUUCUCAUUUUCUGAGUAUUUGCAAAACUCAAUUUCACAAAAGCUCAUUUUUCAUACAUACCAGGUUGUAAAAUAUAGGAGCCAAUUGUUGCUCUCUCUCACAGAUGUAAAGACAGAUCUAAAAUUGCAGUAAAAAUGUUU
This is a long non-coding RNA of Harpia harpyja (harpy eagle), 1605 nucleotides long. RefSeq lists it as uncharacterized. NCBI's taxonomy places the organism in Eukaryota, Metazoa, Chordata, Aves, Accipitriformes, Accipitridae. The record is from RefSeq and is a predicted model, not a curated record. The transcript has 3 exons.